Long non-coding RNA from Cebus imitator (Panamanian white-faced capuchin), 2350 nucleotides. RefSeq lists it as uncharacterized. Lineage: Eukaryota; Metazoa; Chordata; Mammalia; Primates; Cebidae. The record is from RefSeq and is a predicted model, not a curated record. The transcript has 3 exons.
GUUUACAAGAUACUCUCAUCACAGCAUGACAGCGCUCUUUAGUUUGCCCUUAGAUGGCAGAGGCAAUGUUUCCCCAUCCCCUGGGAAAACAUCCAGAUUCCCUGCAGGCUCAGUUUUAAGAGAUCCCCAGCCUGUCGAGCCUCCCUGCCAACUCACAUUGCAAAGUCCACCCUGCUCAGAGAAACCUCACCUAUGAUUCACAAAGACAGAACAGCUAUGUUACAAUCUCGACAGGACAGCUGUUUCAGGAUGUCAAGAUAGAAUACCAUCAACUGAACAGCCACAGAAGAAAUAUGUUCAAGAAAUUGCAAGUUAUGCGCCAGAACCCAGGGCCACUGCAUCGGCCUCUGGGGAUGCCAUGCUUCAGAGGCAGAAGACAUUGUGUUCUCCAUGUCAGUUCCCAGCCCUGCUGCGGAUGUGUUAGGGCGAGGUGUGUGGCUGAAGGUUGGGUCAUCACCAGGGAAAGGCUGGCUGGUGACCACCUGGCACUCCCACUGGAUGGCAUCACUUCGAUGGAAGACCAUAUGCAAAAUAAACUCUAAGGAAUUUUUUUAUUGGCCAUCUGCUAAAAUUGGAAAGAAAGGCUGUAUCCGCCUCGACUCUUCACAAAAAUUUUCACUAAGAAUCCCGCUUGCUUCCACGUGGUGCCACCUGCUGAUCAUAUUUGAAUACCUGUUUUGCAAAUGAAGAGCAGGGUAAUGUGGAUCUCCCUCUUUCUUUAAUGAAAUAAACUUAAUCCUAAUUAAUGUGAGAAAUAACCUGCAAAGUGUCAGGCUUUCAGUUGUUUUACCAAAACUCACACUUCCUCCUGUUGUAGCCAGGAAUCACAGAGCAAAGCCCUCGCAUGCACACACCUCUGAGACCUCACUUCUGAGACACUGUCAGACAUUUUUUUGCCCUCAGGAUUGAGUACACUACCUCUAAUAAAGCCCUGUGUUUGGCUUUCACCUGUCAAAAAUGUCAAUGUACUAAAUUCUUUAGUAUAUCAAUUCCACUUUGAGAUAUCUAUCCAAAGGAGAGCUGGCACGGGCGUAUAAAGGCAUGUGAGGAUAUUCCACAUCAUUUGUUCAACCAAAAAAUAAGGGAAUGCCUAAAUGUCCAUCAACAGGGUGAUGAUUUUUAAAGUCAUAAUGCAUUCAUACAAUGAAAUACUACGGUGCAGCACUGACAUGGCACGAUGUCCUAGACACAUUCAAUGGGAGAAAAUGAAGGCUAAAGAAUGGGUAGUAUAAUCCCAUGUUUUUAAAGAAAAACAGUUCUGUGUGUCAUAGCUCUAUUUGUUUAUACACAGGAAAAGGUUGAAAGGAUACACACUAAACAAAAGCAAUUUCUGAGGAGUGGGGAUUUUUUCCCACUUUUUACUUUACACAUGCCUAUAUUAUUUGAAUUUUGACUAUCAAUGCAUUGUAGUAAAACAAAGGAGCUACUAAAAUUAUAAUGCCACAUUCUUUAAAAAUCAGAUUUGCAGCCAAUAAAGCAUUUCAUCAUCACAUGAGAUGAAAUGUGAUGCUUUGCUUCAGAAGCAGGAGACACUGUAUUCAUUGCAUUUCAUCGUCACAUACUCACUGGAUGCUCACUUGCUCUAAGGCUAGGAUCACUUUCACAUUUAAGAGAUGAAGAAAUGGGACUGAGAGGAGAAGGAACCGAGAUCCUGUAGGGAACAGAUGACAGUGCCGGGGCGCUCCAGCAAACGACUACUGAGGGGUUUUUAGAGUCUUAUUCCGCAUGUGCCAGGCCCUAAACCAGCAGUUUUUAAACUGAUUCCACUAUGUGGACAAAGAAAUCCUCCUUUACAUUAGAGAACUACACAGUCCUGAAGACUUUCAGCAUCAAUCAAAUGGGCUAUGAAACUUCAGGGCCUAGCACAUUAAAGCAGGAAGACCAGAGCAGUCACCUAACUCAGGCUUCCAGUUUUAAUGAUGGGAAAAGAGUCUCCCUGAGGCAGACUAGAGCAACAAACACUUGCCAUCUCCAAGGAGUUAACUUUCCUUCUUCUCCGCUAAACCCGCUCCUCCUCUUGGGUUUCCCAUCCUGGCAAAUGGUAACCCGGCAGACUCCUGAAAGCACUAAGUCUGCCUUCUUCCUCAUUCUCAAUUCUAUCUGUCUCCAAAUCCUAUUGAUGCCACCUUCCAAAUAUUCCUCACCUCUGGUCCUUCUCUGUGUAAGAUUCUGCCUGGGUGUCUCCAUACAACCUUCAGCAUCUCUUCUGCCUAGAUGAACAGAACAGCCUUUCUAAUAGGUCUCAUUCCUCUUCCCUCCCAAUCUACACUAUCCUCUCCAACAGAACACCUUUCUAAUACCAAAACCUCAUAAUAUACCUCCCCGCACUCUACUUAAAACACCUGCAUGG